This 450-nucleotide ribosomal RNA is filed under the name uncultured bacterium. RNAcentral's name for it is "bacterial SSU rRNA". It matches the Rfam family "Bacterial small subunit ribosomal RNA", at positions 329 to 793 of the family's 1533-position model. The record is from RNAcentral.
UGACAGUAUCCUACGGGAGGCAGCAUGGGGGAAUAUUGCACAAUGGGCGCAAGCCUGAUGCAGCAACGCCGUGUGAGUGAAGAAGGUUUUCGGAUCGUAAAACUCUGUCCUAAGGGAAGAAACAAAUGACGGUACCUUAGGAGGAAGCCCCGGCUAACUACGUGCCAGCAGCCGCGGUAAUACGUAGGGGGCAAGCGUUAUCCGGAAUCACUGGGCGUAAAGGGUGCGUAGGCGGCUUAGCAAGCCAGGGGGUGAAAGGCAUUGGCUCAACCAAUGUAAGCCUUUGGAACUGUUAAGCUUGAGUGCAGGAGAGGUAAGUGGAAUUCCUAGUGUAGAGGUGAAAUUCGUAGAUAUUAGGAGGAACACCAGUGGCGAAGGCGACUUACUGGACUGUAACUGACGCUGAUGCACGAAAGCGUGGGUAGCGAACAGGAUUAGAUACCCUGGUAG